Apus apus (common swift) is the source of this 2936-nucleotide long non-coding RNA. RefSeq lists it as uncharacterized. The record is from RefSeq and is a predicted model, not a curated record. Lineage: Eukaryota; Metazoa; Chordata; Aves; Apodiformes; Apodidae. The transcript has 2 exons.
GCCGCCGUUCUUGUUGUUCCCCAGCUCAGGAAUAGGGUUAUUCGGAUUCAUCUUUGCAUCUGGCUCUGAAGGAUCCAUCACCCGAUUUAUUGCGUAGGAAGGUAAACCCUAGAACAUCCCCUUUGUAUUUGAAAUCCCUUAACGGACUCAGCGUGUUCAUGAAAACUCAGGAUUCCUGGUGUUUCCGUUCAUGUCGCUUGGGUGGAGAAGCGCGAUGCUUUGUGUCCCAAAAACACACACGCUGCAACCCGUUGUAGAAGAAUCGAGCUUUAGGAGUGUAUUAAAACAAGGUGUUGGGCAAGUUCUCUGCUGACCCUGCAGUGAAGACAGCAGCCAGCUCCAGCCGCUCGGGUCCUGGAGCAGCAGCUCCCAUGAAGCACUGAUGAUGAUGAGAGAUUUUGCCCUAUUCCAUCCGUUUGCAUUCUAAAGAGUUUAGUAACAGCACAGGUUGUUCUCCGCCUCCAUUCCCCCCCCUACAGCCACAGUGAGCUGGAAGCCAGAAUUUCUGCUGCAAACGCCUGAGCUCUAAGAACACAAACUUGUUUGAGCUGAGACCAUAUUUGGAAGAGAUCUGGGUCAAGAAAAAUAAUCAAAGGAAAGUGCAUUCCUGGAGCGUCACGUGAGGAGGAGCGCGCGCGGGGCCCGCGCACGACCCUCGAGUAGCUCGCUGUGAGGACUGUGCCAAGGGCUGGUUUUACACCAGUGUGCACUCUCAGAAGAAAUUCAACAGCCUCUUUGAGGGCAUUUGGGCAACUUUAGAAGAGCCUUUCUUAAUUGAGGUGUUCAGCAAGAUGCCAUUGAUGGCAAGGGUUGAUGGCACUAAAAUGCAUCCUGGCAGGCUCUGCAGGCUCCACGCUCACAAACUGACAUACCUGUCUCUUCCUGUCCCCAGUUCUGCUGCAGUAACUGCUCUUACAAACAUAAACACAUUUGAAGGACUAAAAUACCAAAGUGCACUCUCCCCCCAAGACUCCAGCAUUCUUUUACUUCAUUGUUUUAGGAAUAUCCUAAAUCCAGCCUUUGGUGUUUAUUUCAUAUUCAGCUAUUACAACUUAGCAAAGCUUUGCUUAAAAAUCUUACUUUUUGUGUCUUGCACUUGGAAAGCUUGAGUCAGAAAAGCUCCUACAGAUGGCACUUUGAGCGUCAGAAUCAUUUACUCAAUUAGCAGCCAAAUGCAGACUGAACAGACUGCACUACUUAAUUGUGCAAGUAAAAGCCUAAGCAGGAAGGCCAGGGAAAAGCUCUAGAACGUGCCAGGCUGGGACCUACACAUUACAUUUUAGUUAAAGACUAACAUGUAAAUUAGGCCAUAAGCUGCUUAUUAAUGAAACAAGGGGUGGCAACGAUGUGCAAUACAGUUAGGGUAAUACAAAAUUCUAAACUGUGACUCUGCCUCCGCCUCCAGCCAUUCCCAGUGUCUUCCAGAUUCACAGAUCUUCACCUAGACAGUUCUCUCCUCCUUCACUGUCACCUGAAAGUGCCAGUGUCCUGCUCCCUGAGAACAGCAAGACCCCCAGAGUAUUGCCCCUUGCCACUGCAUGGUGACAACUCUGCAUUACUGUGACACACAAGUAGUUAAUGAUCCAGGAUCAAAUACUUGUAUCACUUACCCACCCAAAGUUAAUUUAAGAGUUUGUUCUCCUCUGGCUUAUAUACAUUUCACUCCUGUUUUCAUGUAUCCAGACACCUUCCCUGUGACUUUCUUAACUGAGUCUGAGCUCGCUGCAUUUCUAGCAGAAAAACAGAAGCACUCCCUACUGUACACGUCACCUCACUCCAGACAGUACCAGGUUAACUGCCAUGGGAGAAAAACACAGAAGCAACAUAAGUGCAGAAAAGAGAUGAGUUAUUCAGAAAGACAGUUUCUGAAAAAUAUACAUUGAAAUUAUUUUUAUUUUUGCUGCAAUUAAAAAAACAUAGUAAUAUUGACAUUGCAUUUAAAAACCCCAGGAAGUUAAAGAUUAUACAUUGUUGCAUCUCUGAAAUCCAACAGUGCAAAGCUGGAAAUCACAAAAAUGUCUCCAUUGUGCCUUUUCUAGGAGACACCAAUACAUAUAUAUAUGAACAUUUUGAAACAAGGUUUAAAAGAAGUGUCAGACUCUCCAAACUUAAAAGUGCUCUUCACUAAAUACAGUGAAAUCUGUCACUCUUCUGGGGGGACACUCAAAAAGUUAGACAAUUCAACAAACAAGUUGUAUGAAACAUAUGAAAAAACAGCUCUUAAUGGAAAGAAACCUGAUGUAUUUAAAGGGAACCACAAGGCUUUAGUUUGAAAUCUCUGGUUUUAAUUUUGAGAAGUGUUAUUUGUGUGUUUCUUCUCUUUGUUCUACUCAGUGUGUUAAUAUUGGCAAGUAUUGGGUGUUCUUAUUCUAAAUGUAAGUUGGCGUAAUCAUUGCUUUCCUUUCCUGUACUGCAAAUAAGGUACAAUGACAAUAGAGUAACUGACAGUUGUGUGCAAACAGAAAUAGUCAUUUAAAUCACCUGAAGUUGGGAAAUAGAUGUUGUGAAGUUACACAGCCAUGAUGCAGGUUGUACGAUUGCUCUUCACCAGGGUUAAAGCACUAUAUACAGAGCUGUUUUAAAAUGACACAUUUCUUCCCAAUGUGUCAGGUAAGAAAAGCUUUCUACAAAAGUCCUUUUGAAAGCCAUCAUCUUGACAGUCUUGCAGCUGCUACAACAGACGAUUCAACUUGCUACCACUUGGGCUCCAGAUAAGCAAACAGGGAAAUUAAAUGCUUAAGAGUAGUAAGUGUCCAUCGUGGGCACUAAUGGUAACGGGGAUGAGACCUCAAAAAGAAAGGUCUUGCCUGUCCUAGUAGCUUAUUGACUGCAAUGAUAGUAUCUGUGGAACUCACUCAUAAAUAGCAUUAUUCUUUUUUACUUAAAGCCAUGUCCUAACAGUAUUAAAGAUGACAACCCUGGGAAAAAAAAAAAAU